Molecule: ribosomal RNA, 959 nt
Filed under: uncultured organism
Description: bacterial SSU rRNA
Rfam family: Bacterial small subunit ribosomal RNA
Source: RNAcentral
UUGACGGUACCCUACUAGAAAGGAGCCGCUAACUUCGUGCCAGAAGCGUCGGUAAUACGGGGGCUCCAAGCGUUAUCCGGUGUUAUUGGGCGUAAAGAGUCGUGUAGGUGGUUGGGUAAGUUAUCUUUCAAAUAUCUUUGCUUAACAAAGAGGAGGGGGAUAAUACUGCUCGACUAGAAUUUUCUCAAGGGAGAUCGGAACUGAGGGAGGAGUAGUGAAAUGCGUUGAUACCCUCGGGAACACCAGUGGCGUAGGCGGAUCUCUGGGAGAAGAUUGACACUGAGACACGAAAGCUAGGGGAGCGAAGCAGAUUAGAGACCUGCGUAGUCCUAGCCGUAAACGCAUGCUUGCUAGCUGCAUGAAUCUACCUUCGGGUGGUAUCGUGUGGCGAAGGUAACCCGUUAAGCAAGCCGCCUGGAAAGUACGGCCGCAAGGCUGAAAUUCAAAGGAAUUGGCGGGGAGGCACACAACCAGUGGAACAUGUGGUUUAAUUCGAGACUAACCGAAGAACCUCACCAGGGUUUGACAUGUAGCUGCACGUCUUAAGAAAUUAAGACUCUCCUGAAGGUGCUACACAGGUGCUGCAUGGCUGUCGUCAGCUCGUUCCGUGAGGAGUGCCCUUAAGUGGGACAACGAGCGCAACCCCUAUUACAUGUUAGAAAUGUCAUGUAAGACUGCCUUGCCAUUUGGCGGGGAGGAAGGAGGGGCAGACGUCAAGUCCGCAUGGUCCUUAUGCCCUGGGCUACACACAUGUUACAAUGAGUACGGCAAUGAGUCUGUCGCGAGCACGUAAGUGUAAGCUAAUCUCUUAAAUGUACUCUCAGUGGGGAUUGAGGUCUGCAACUCGACCUCAUGAACACGGAAUUGGUAGUAAUCGCGGGUCAGCUAUACCGCGGUGAAUACGUUCUUGCCUCUUGCACACACCGCCCGUCAAACCAGCAAAGUCGAUUGUAUCCGAA